RNAcentral lists this ribosomal RNA (448 nucleotides) under Leptosphaeria sp. R1ZL06. RNAcentral describes it as "eukaryotic LSU rRNA". The stretch from base 98 to 251 matches the Rfam family "5.8S ribosomal RNA". The record is from RNAcentral. Lineage: Eukaryota; Fungi; Ascomycota; Dothideomycetes; Pleosporales; Leptosphaeriaceae.
GCGUACCGUAUGUUUCCUCGGCGGGCUUGCCUGCCGGUUGGACAUUAUCAAACCUUUUUGUAGUUGCAAUCAGCGUCAGAAAACAAAUAAUAAUUACAACUUUCAACAACGGAUCUCUUGGUUCUGGCAUCGAUGAAGAACGCAGCGAAAUGCGAAAAGUAGUGUGAAUUGCAGAAUUCAGUGAAUCAUCGAAUCUUUGAACGCACAUUGCGCCCCUUGGUAUUCCAUGGGGCAUGCCUGUUCGAGCGUCAUUUUGUACCCUCAAGCACUGCUUGGUGUUGGGCGUUUGUCCUGCAAAGGACUCGCCUGAAAGCGAUUGGCGGCCAACGUACUGGUGGUAGAGCGCAGCACAAUUUGCGUCUCUCCCCUCUGCGUCGGCGUCCAUGAAGCCUUUUUUCAACGUUUGACCUCGGAUCAGGUAGGGAUACCCGCUGAACUUAAGCAUAUA